AAAAAUCGAUUGAUUGAUAUAAAUAUUAAUCGAAAAAUAUAAUAAAAUGAAUAUUGCUUCGAGAGUUCUAAGUAGUUCUAACCUUUGGAAUGUAAUUGUUUAAAUAAUUUUACAAUUUUUAAUAAUGAAUGAAUUUUUAUCAUGUUUUAAAAUACAAAAAUACAAUACAGUAUUCUAUAGAACUCUCAAAACAUAAAAUAAGGAUAUAGUAGGUGUACACAUAAUAAGAAUUAGAAUAUCUUUCAACAAAGGAGAGAAAGGAAAUAUAUCUUUACACGGUAAGAAAAAUAUUUUCGACACGGAUUGUGUUUCCGGUAUCUGUCGAUAUCUCGUGAGACAUCUGAAGCUGCUGGUUAAAUAUCGAACAUCAUCUACAAACACAAACUACGGAUUUAUGAAAACAAUAAUUGUAAAAUAAAGAAUAAAUAUUCUUUAUAUGAUUUUAUUUUCUUUAUAUGAAUUUAUUCCAGAAGUUUCUGUUUGCAGAGCAUGCCUCAAUAUUCAGUCGAUAUGUACACAAUUGUAUAUUGCAUAUUAGUUGAGUAAAAUAUACAUAGAGGAGCAAGUUUCAAAUAAAAAAAUCCUAUUAGAGGGCGCUGUAAAUCCAGGCACAUAAGUCACGUACAAAAUACAGACAAAAUGUGUGGUGUUUUUUUUUGUGAAUUCUUCGUCUUUUUUUGUUUUUAAUUGGAUCAUUUUGGAUUAUAAAAAGGUAAGUAAUUUAUAAUUUUAUAAUGACAUAGUUAGAAUCAGAUAUUUCAAUUUGUUUACUCGAACAAUCCAAAUGGCACGAAAUAUAAUAAUGAUUCUAAAUUUAAAACUAAUUUCAUUUUUGUCCUGUUAUGUUUGUUACAUUUAGCUGCAUGUUAAUUGAUAAAUAAAUUUCAUCGUAGCCAGAAAUAUAUACAGCAGUAUGAUGUGAUCGUUCUUCCUGAUUGUUUGUUGGUAGAAUUAACAUGUAAGGAUAACAUGAAAGAUGUUUGCAGACGAAUUAUGUGAUGGUAUAUAAUUUAUUAAAUUCUAGAGAAAUCAACGAUUUAAUUUUUGAUUUUUUUUUUAAAAAAUUGAUUUUUAAAAAUAAUUAAAAAUAAUGAAAAAAGAAAAUAAAGUAUCUCUAAUAACAAGAUAAAGUGAAUACGUACCAAAAGGCCUGAUGGGAUGUCGACUCCAUAGAUAGCUACGUUUAACAGGACUUAGGUAACUAUCUCUGAGAUAAAACG
Apis laboriosa (Himalayan honeybee) is the source of this 1220-nucleotide long non-coding RNA. RefSeq lists it as uncharacterized. The transcript has 3 exons. The record is from RefSeq and is a predicted model, not a curated record. Lineage: Eukaryota; Metazoa; Arthropoda; Insecta; Hymenoptera; Apidae.